Molecule: unclassified non-coding RNA, 177 nt
Filed under: uncultured fungus
Lineage: Eukaryota; Fungi
Description: sequence contains ITS2
Source: RNAcentral
CAACCCUCGAACACCCCCACGGGGGAUUCGGUGUUGGGGACCGGCCUCCGCCCUCGCUGGCGGUCGCCGCCCCCGAAAUACAGUGGCGGUCCCGCCGCAGCCUCCUCUGCGCAGUAGUUUGCACACUCGCAUCGGAGAGCGGCGCGUCCAAGCCGUAAACCACCCAAACUUAUAAAA